RNAcentral lists this transfer-messenger RNA (109 nucleotides) under Gemmatimonadota bacterium. RNAcentral's name for it is "partial transfer-messenger RNA". It matches the Rfam family "transfer-messenger RNA", at positions 1 to 108 of the family's 374-position model. From Rfam's summary of the family: Bacterial tmRNA, also known as 10Sa RNA or SsrA, is named for its dual tRNA and mRNA-like properties. Its role is to liberate the mRNA from a stalled ribosome. To accomplish this part of the tmRNA is used as a reading frame that ends in a translation stop signal. The record is from RNAcentral. Lineage: Bacteria; Pseudomonadati; Gemmatimonadota.
GGGGGCGACACGGCUUCGACGGGGGUGGGGAGAUAAUAGCUGCGUGUCGAGGUGCCCAAUCACCUCGUAAAACAAUUGGGAAAAAACGCAACUGCGGACGAUAACACGU